RNAcentral lists this ribosomal RNA (329 nucleotides) under uncultured eukaryote. RNAcentral's name for it is "partial 18S ribosomal RNA". It matches the Rfam family "Eukaryotic small subunit ribosomal RNA", at positions 1470 to 1796 of the family's 1831-position model. The record is from RNAcentral.
CCCUUAGAUGUUCUGGGCCGCACGCGCGCUACACUGAUGCAUUCAACGAGUCUAAAGCCUGCUCUGAUAGGGGUGGGUAAUCUUUUGAAUGUGCAUCGUGAUUGGGAUAGAUGAUUGCAAUUUUUCAUCUUCAACGAGGAAUGCCUAGUAAACGCAAGUCAUCAGCUUGCAUUGAUUACGUCCCUGCCCUUUGUACACACCGCCCGUCGCUCCUACCGAUUGAAUGAUCCGAUGAAUAUCAUGGAUUGAGGAUUAUAGCAGGUUCGCCUGUCUUGAUCUUCGAGAAGUGAAGUAAAUCUUAUCAUUUAGAGGAAGGAGAAGUCGUAACA